GUCUAUAACCAUGCUACCCUGAACACACCUGAUCCCGUCUGAUCCUGUCUGAUCCCAGAAGCUAAGCAGGGUCAGGCCUGGUUAGUACUUGGAUGGGAGACCACCUAGGAGGACCAGGUGCAGUAGGUG
This is a ribosomal RNA of Pteropus vampyrus (large flying fox), 129 nucleotides long. The record is from Ensembl. Lineage: Eukaryota; Metazoa; Chordata; Mammalia; Chiroptera; Pteropodidae.